Molecule: small nuclear RNA, 148 nt
Gene: U2
Rfam family: U2 spliceosomal RNA
About the family: U2 is a small nuclear RNA (snRNA) component of the spliceosome (involved in pre-mRNA splicing). Complementary binding between U2 snRNA (in an area lying towards the 5' end but 3' to hairpin I) and the branchpoint sequence (BPS) of the intron results the bulging out of an unpaired adenosine, on the BPS, which initiates a nucleophilic attack at the intronic 5' splice site, thus starting the first of two transesterification reactions that mediate splicing.
Source: Ensembl
AUCGCUUCUCGGCCUUUUGGCUAAGAUCAAGUGUAAAGUUAUUGCAAUGUUUAAAAAAGUUAUUGUAGGGGCGCCUGGGUGGCGCAGUCGGUUAAGCGUCCGACUUCAGCCAGGUCACGAUCUCGCAGUCCGUGAGUUCGAGCCCCGC